CGAUUAAGCCAUGCGAGUCAUAUGUUCUUCGUGAACAUGGCGUACUGCUCAGUAACACGUGGAUAACCUGCCCUUGGGACCGGGAUAACCCCGGGAAACUGGGGAUAAUACCGGAUAACGCAUAUCUGCUGGAAUGCUUUAUGCGUAAAAUGGAUUUGUCUGCCCAAGGAUGGGUCUGCGGCCUAUCAGGUAGUAGUGGGUGUAAUGUACCUACUAGCCUACGACGGGUACGGGUUGUGAGAGCAAGAGCCCGGAGAUGGAUUCUGAGACAUGAAUCCAGGCCCUACGGGGCGCAGCAGGCGCGAAAACUUUACAAUGCGGGAAACCGUGAUAAGGGGACACCGAGUGCCAGCAUCAUAUGUUGGCUGUCCAGAUGUGUAAAAUACAUCUGUUAGCAAGGGCCGGGCAAGACCGGUGCCAGCCGCCGCGGUAACACCGGCGGCCCGAGUGGUGAUCGUGAUUAUUGGGUCUAAAGGGUCCGUAGCCGGUUUGGUCAGUCCUCCGGGAAAUCUGACGGCUCAACCGUUAGGCUUUCGGUGGAUACUGCCAGACUUGGAACCGGGAGAGGUAAGAGGUACUACAGGGGUAGGAGUGAAAUCUUGUAAUCCCUGUGAGACCACCUGUGGCGAAGGCGUCUUACCAGAACGGGUUCGACGGUGAGGGACGAAAGCUGGGGGCACGAACCGGAUUAGAUACCCGGGUAGUCCCAGCCGUAAACGAUGCUCGCUAGGUGUCAGGCAUGGCGCGACCGUGUCUGGUGCCGCAGGGAAGCCGUGAAGCGAGCCACCUGGGAAGUACGGCCGCAAGGCUGAAACUUAAAGGAAUUGGCGGGGGAGCA
Molecule: ribosomal RNA, 838 nt
Filed under: uncultured archaeon
Lineage: Archaea
Description: bacterial SSU rRNA
Rfam family: Archaeal small subunit ribosomal RNA
Source: RNAcentral